CCUACGGGUGGCAGCAGUGAGGAAUAUUGGUCAAUGGGCGAACGUCUGAACCAGCCAAGUAGCGUGAAGGAUGACUGCCCUAUGGGUUGUAAACUUCUUUUAUCUGGGAGUAAAGUGUUCCACGUGUGGGAUUUUGUAUGUAACAUAUGAAUAAGGCUUGGCUAACUCCGUGCCAGCAGCCGCGGUAAUAAGGAGGAUCCGAGCGUUAUCCGGAUUUAUUGGGUUUAAAGGGAGCGUAGGUGGAUUGUUAAGUCAGUUGGGAAAGUUUCCGGCUUAACCGUAACAUUGCAGUUGAAACUGGCAGUCUUGAGUACAGUAGAGGUAUGCGGAAUGCGUGGUGUAGCGGUGAAAUGCUUAGAUAUCACGAAGAACUCCGAUUGCGAAGGCAGCUCACUGGAGUGCAACUGACACUGAGGCACGAAAGUGUGGGUAUCAAACAGGAUUAGAUACCCCUGUAGUC
Molecule: ribosomal RNA, 460 nt
Filed under: uncultured bacterium
Lineage: Bacteria
Description: partial 16S ribosomal RNA
Rfam family: Bacterial small subunit ribosomal RNA
Source: RNAcentral